This 1206-nucleotide long non-coding RNA is filed under the name Sus scrofa (pig). RNAcentral describes it as "lncRNA (ENSSSCG00050015698.1)". Lineage: Eukaryota; Metazoa; Chordata; Mammalia; Artiodactyla; Suidae. The record is from RNAcentral.
ACUGGCGAUGAGAGUGUAAAAGGGUAAAGCCACUUGGGAAACAGUUCGGCAGUUUCUUAAAAAGUUAAACAUAUACUUACCAUAUGAUCUAGUAAUUCUGCUCCUAGGUUUGUGCCCAAGAGAAAGGAAGACAUAUGUCCACACAAAGACUUGUACAUGAAUGUUCAUGGCAGCAUCAUUCAGAAUUGCCCUAAGUUAGAAACAAACCAAAUGUCCGCCCACUGGUGAGUGGAUAAACAAAAUGUGAUACAGCUAUACAAUGAAAUGUUAUUAAAAAAAAGAAUGAGCUGAGAGUUCCCGUCGUGGUUCAGCAGAAAUGAAUCUGACUAGCAUCCACAAGGACGAAGGUUCAAUCCCUGGCCUUGCUCAGUGGGCCAGGGAGCUGGCGUCACCAUGAGCUGUGGGUAGGUCGUAGAUGAGGCUCGGAUCUGGUGUUGCCGUGGCUAUAGUGUAGGCCGCCAGCUGCAGCUCCAGUUCGACCCCUAGCCUGGGAACUUCCAUGAGCGGCAGGUGCGGCCCUAAAAAAAACAAACAAAAAAAGAAUCAGCUACUUCGAUAUGGUACAACAUGGAUGAAUUUCAAAGACACUAUGUGAAAUGAAAUAACCCAGACACGAAAGACCACAGAUCAUAUGAUUCCAUUUAGAUAAAAUUUCUAGGCAAAUCUAUAGAGACAUAAAACUCAGUAGUUGCCUGUGGCUGGGAGCAGGAUUGACUAUGAAGAGACAAAAAGGAACUUCAUGUUGCGAUGGAAGUGUUCCAGUUCAUAACUCUGUAAAGUUACUUUAAAAAUUAUUAAACUACAAAGCUACAAUGGUUGAAUUUUAAAGUAUAUAAUUUAUGCCUCCAAAAGAAGUAUUUAAUCAAACAGCGGGAUCUCAAAAAUGGCAACAGAAUGGUACAAGUGAAUGAAUGAAUUAAAAAAAAAUCGAAAUCAAUGUAACAAAAAUUUUUUUUAAUUCAAAGUAUUCAGGAGAUGGUGUUCAAAGAAAUAUAUCUGCAUAUGAUUAAGAGCCUUCCACACAUUGUCAUCCACUGCAGCCUAACAAAAGACUCAUUUCCUAGGUCAGCCUCGGUGUGAGAAGCAAAGGGGUCUCCGAUGAUGGAGAUCAUGUGAAUUCUCUUUUAACAUCCCCACCCACUGUGAGAAGGAUCCAGGGGUUCUGAUAUCCUACUUCACAGAUCCAUCUAGAGGAAUAAAAAAUCA